This 465-nucleotide ribosomal RNA is filed under the name Vreelandella stevensii. Its description in RNAcentral is "partial 16S ribosomal RNA". It matches the Rfam family "Bacterial small subunit ribosomal RNA", at positions 338 to 795 of the family's 1533-position model. The record is from RNAcentral. Lineage: Bacteria; Pseudomonadati; Pseudomonadota; Gammaproteobacteria; Oceanospirillales; Halomonadaceae.
CCUACGGGCGGCAGCAGUGGGGAAUAUUGGACAAUGGGGGCAACCCUGAUCCAGCCAUGCCGCGUGUGUGAAGAAGGCCCGCGGGUUGUAAAGCACUUUCAGUGAGGAAGAACGCCUGGUGGUUAAUACCCAUCAGGAAAGACAUCACUCACAGAAGAAGCACCGGCUAACUCCGUGCCAGCAGCCGCGGUAAUACGGAUGGUGCGAGCGUUAAUCGGAAUUACUGGGCGUAAAGCGCGCGUAGGUGGCUUGAUAAGCCGGUUGUGAAAGCCCCGGGCUCAACCUGGGAACGGCAUCCGGAACUGUCAAGCUAGAGUGCAGGAGAGGAAGGUAGAAUUCCCGGUGUAGCGGUGAAAUGCGUAGAGAUCGGGAGGAAUACCAGUGGCGAAGGCGGCCUUCUGGACUGACACUGACACUGAGGUGCGAAAGCGUGGGUAGCAAACAGGAUUAGAUACCCCGGUAGUC